UGGGAGCCCAGGCAGAGGAGGCGCCGAGAGUGAGUGAGGGCUGUGAGGACUGCCAGCAUGCUGUCACCUCUCACUGGGAUUGCAGACGUGAGCCACCGGCACCCGACAUAAUUUCAAUGAAAAAUUAAUGAUGAAAAGAGCUAUCAACUUUUAUCCUGGAGAGGGGUACUUACAUCUUACUUUAAUUAUAAUAAGUUCUCUACAUUUCCUGGCCUUUCACCUGUCUCCAUGACUUGUUGCUUCUUACAUUUUUGGACACUAUGUUGUGCACGUGUGGAGAAAAACAUACAUAAAAAUAACACAGAUCGAGUCUAGCUUUGUCGCCCAAGCUGGAGUGCAGUGGCGCAAUCUUGGAUCACUGCAACCUCUGACUUCCGGGUUUAAGAGAUUCUCCUGCCUCAGCCUCCUGAGUAGCUGAGAUUACAAGCGCCUGACAAUAUGCCAGCUAAUUUUUGUAUUUUUAGUAGAGACGGGGUUUUGCCAUGUUGGCCAGGCUGGUCUCAAACUCCUGACCUCAAGUGAUCUGCCUGCCUUGGCCUCCCAAAAUGCCAGGAUUACAGGCAUGAGCCACAGUACCCGGCUGUAAGAUUUAAACAAAAUACAGAGCUGAAAUAUCACAUUUCUUCUUCUCUUCUUCUUUUUUUUUUUUUUUUUUUUUUUUUUAGUUAGAGACAGCAUCUCUCUACAUUGCCCAGACUGGAACUCCUUGGCUCAUGCAGUCCUACUGCAUCAACCACCCUAGUAUUAAUAGCUGAAAUUACAGACACCCAACAGGACACCAAGCACUUACAUUUCUAAUUAGGCCAACAUUUUCUAAAAUACAAACAUAAAUAUUGAGAUAUACAGUGUCUAUAAUGUGACCAAAAAUGGAAUUGUAAUUCAUUCAAUUCAUUAAGCAUUCAAAACAUUGAAUAUGUACCCAUGCUAGUCAAUGUGCUAGGUACUGAUUUGAACUUGGUAUUUAUUUUUAAUCAUUCAUAUUUUAUUUGACCUACAAAAUUGAAAGUAAGACAGAAAAACUCCAGUAUAUAAUGUUAAUGAAACAAAAUGUUCAGCACAGUAAUGAAGCAUUAAUGGGAGAAAUUCCUGUUUUAUACAAAAUGUAUGACACAUUUAUUCAGCUUGAUGAAAAUGCUUACUGUGAAUUUACGCAUUUUCUUAACAUUUGCAAAUUCAGCAGUUACUGCAUGACAUCCUCUAAUUUAUAAAAAGAAUCUAGUCACGACAUUGAGAUAAAAUGUAAAUUGCUCAUUUUCAGGUAAUAGAAUGUAGUUUUAAUGUUAACAUGUCAUUUGAGGUAAUGUAAUUACUAUAUCCUAUAAAUCAUAAUCUAUAAGACACUUUUAUAUUCUCAAUGUACAACAAUUUUCAGACAAAUAUGUUUUGCUUCUCAAUAAAUCCUGCUUCUUUUUUUUAUUUAUACCAGUUUCUUUCGAAAAUAAUGUAUUUUCUAAUAUAUGUUCUGCGUCAUCCAUAAUGCAAAACAAUUCCAUUAUUGCAAAGCAAUUGAAGGAGAAGGAUUCUAAAAGUUAUUCCCAAAAUACGUCAUCUAAGUAAAAUUACAGUUUGUUUCAAAAUGAUAUUUCUACCUUUAAAACAAAUAACCUGGUUUAACAAAAGUAACAGAGGAUUUGGAUAGAUGUUUCUCCAAGUAAGACCUACAAAUGGCUACCAAGUACAUGAAAAGGGCAUCAGCAUUACUAAUCAUCCAGGAAAUGCAGAUAAAAUCCAUAAUGAAACAAAAUACUACCUCACACUUGUUAGAAUGACUAUCGUUUUUUAAAUGAAUGAGUGAAAAACAAGUAUUGAUGAGGAUGAGGUAAAAUUUGAGCCAUUAUAUAAUGUUGGGAAUGAAGAAUGGUGGAGCCACCAUGGAAAACCAUAUGGAAUUUCCUCAAAAAAUUUAAAAAAAGAACUACUAUGUGAUUUAGCAAUCACACUUCUCAUUAUAUAUCCAAAGGGAUUAAAAUCAAGAUCUUGAAGACAUAUCUGCCCCCCCAUGUUCAUUGCAGCAUUAUUUAUAAUAGCCAAAAUAUAGAAACAACUCAAAUAUCCAUCAACAGAUGAAUAGAAAAAGAAAUUUUGGUUAUAAAUGCACAGUGGAAAGUUAUUCAACCUUAAAAAAGAUGAAAAUCCUACUGUUUGCAACAACGUAUUUAAAUUUAUAGGGCAUUAUCCUAAGUGAGAUAAACUAGUCACAGGACAAAUACGAUUCCACUUUUAUGAGGUAUCUAAAUAGUAAAACUCACAGAAACAGACAAUACAAUGGUGGUGCCAGGAACUAGCAGAAGGGGAAAAUGAAGAAUUGAUUUUCAAUGGAUAUAAAAUUUUUGUAAUACAAAAUGAAUUAAUUUGAGAUAUCUGCUGCCUGUAUGGUCUCUAUAGUUAACAAUACUGUAUUGUUCAUUUAAAAAUAUAAGAAUAUAUAUAUCAUAUUUAAAGUUCUUAUAAAAUAAGCAAAAACAUCCAGCAGUAAAACACAAGCAAAUUAUUUGAAGUGAAGGAUAUGUUUACUGCCUUGAUUAUGGUGAUAGUAAUCACAGAUGUAUGCAUAUAUCCAAACUAGUCAGAUGCAUACGUUAAAUGUGUGGAAUUUUUUAUACAUCAACUAUAACUCAAUAAAGCUAAAAAGAAUUACCUUCGAGUAUGGGAUAAGAUUGAAAGGAAAAUAAUAGAUCUUGAAAAGUUUAACUGUUUUAAUAAGAAGAACAUCUUAAAAUGUAUGCAGACUUCCUUACAAUUCUUCUGAAUGUGAAUGCCAGAAGACAUAAACAUUCUCUUCUCAUCAAGCUGUCUUUAGCCUAUCUUGUAUUGAAUUUCUACCUAAUUCCUCUGUAAAGAUGACAUCUCCCAAGUUUCUCUAAACUUAGUUACCAAGACGUGUGAAUUUCAUGACCUCAUUUUUACUCACUCUGAAAGUUAACAUAAGUUUCAUAGUAUGUCUCUCCCUCUUCUCACACAACCCCCUUCUUUUCCUUUCUGUGAUUCUCUUCUUUUUAUUAUAAAUUAUAACAUUUUUCUAAGGUUUUUACUAUUUUAGGUUAAAUCAUUAGACAGUUUUUGUUAUAAAAUACAAAAUGAAUGGCCUAAGGUUUUGCUGAAAAUUUUUGAGACCUCUUGAAUGUCUUUUAUUGCUUUUUCAUCUAUUUCAAUACUUCUGUAACCUUAAGGAAAAUAUAAUAUUUACUACUGUUUAUGCCACUAAAAAUUCCCAUGGAUUUCUAAUAUAUUACAUUAAUAAAAUAAUAUGCAAAAUGUCCUAAAAU
This 3266-nucleotide long non-coding RNA is filed under the name Homo sapiens (human). RNAcentral's name for it is "HSALNT0019458". Lineage: Eukaryota; Metazoa; Chordata; Mammalia; Primates; Hominidae. The record is from RNAcentral.